Cajanus cajan (pigeon pea) is the source of this 2352-nucleotide non-coding RNA. Lineage: Eukaryota; Viridiplantae; Streptophyta; Magnoliopsida; Fabales; Fabaceae. The record is from RefSeq and is a predicted model, not a curated record.
AUAAAGCGUAUUUAAUUUACAUCGAAGUAGUUGCUCGGGGGAGGGGGUGGUCUCAUCCCCAACCCCACCCCGUUCCGUCAUCGGUCUCAUUCAAAGGUCUCUUUUGACCUCUCCUCCGCCCUCUUCUUCCCUUCUUCCCUUCUUCCUUAUCCCAGUUCUAAGCUCUCUCUUUCCCCCAUUGAAUGACUUCUGCCACUACAUAUAUAUAUCACCGUCGUCGUCGUCGUCAUAAUCAUUAUAAUUCUAACUUUUUAACCAUUUUCGAUUCUCUCUAACCAUGGGAAUUUGCCAUUCCGCCACCAAAGUUAGCAGCUCCAUCGGCAACGCCAACGACAACGCCAAUGGUAACGCCGUCACCGUCAUUCAAGGCGGCAAGGGGACCGCGAAGCCGAAAUCGGAGACGGUAAAGGCGAACCGUCGACGGCGCAAGGCGAGUCCGAAGAAGAGGCCAUGCGGUAAGCGCACUGAAUUCGGUUACGAGAAGGAUUUCGAUAAGCGUUACUCGCUGGGGAAAUUGCUAGGACACGGCCAGUUCGGUUACACCUAUGUCGGAAUCGACAAAGCCAAUGGCGAUCGCGUCGCAGUUAAGAGGCUCGAUAAGAGUAAGAUGGUUCAGCCUAUAGCCGUUGAGGAUGUUAAGCGAGAGGUCAAGAUUUUGAAAGCACUCGCUGGUCACGAUAAUGUGGUUCAGUUUUAUAAUGCUUUUGACGAUGAUUCUUACGUGUACAUAGUUAUGGAGUUAUGCGAGGGUGGAGAACUGCUAGAUCGGAUAUUGGCCAAGAAGGAAAGUCGUUACACUGAAAAGGAUGCAGCGGUGGUUGUAAGGCAGAUGCUCAAGGUUGCAGCUGAGUGUCAUUUAAAUGGUAUGGUGCACCGGGACAUGAAACCAGAGAAUUUUCUUUUCAAAUCAACCAAAGAAGAUUCACCUUUAAAGGCCACAGAUUUUGGUUUAUCAGAUUUCAUAAAACCUGGAAAGAAGUUUCAUGAUAUGGUUGGCAGUGCUUACUAUGUUGCACCUGAAGUGUUAAAACGUAAGUCAGGCUCUCAAUCAGAUGUGUGGAGUAUUGGUGUUAUUACAUACAUAUUGUUGUGUGGAAGGCGCCCAUUUUGGGAUAAGACUGAGGAUGGUAUCUUCAAAGAGGUCUUACGUAAGAAGCCCGAUUUCCGUCGGAAACCAUGGCCAACUAUAAGUAAUGCUGCAAAAGAUUUUGUUAAAAAAUUAUUGGUAAAGGAUCCUCGGGCGAGAUUAACUGCUGCUCAAGCUUUAUCACAUCCAUGGGUUAGAGAAGGAGGGGAAGCAUUGGAGAUUCCUAUUGAUAUAUCUGUCCUGAACAACAUGCGGCAGUUUGUGAAGUAUAGUCGAUUGAAACAGUUUGCACUGAGGGCAUUGGCAAGCACACUUAAUGAAGAAGAGCUGGCUGAUCUAAAAGAUCAAUUUGACGCUAUAGAUGUGGACAAAAAUGGUUCUAUUAGCCUGGAAGAGAUGAGACAGGCUCUUGCCAAAGAUCUUCCUUGGAGGUUGAAAGAAUCACGUGUGCUAGAGAUAUUGCAAGCGAUAGACAGCAACACUGAUGGGCUAAUUCAAUAUUGUGUGUUUGCAGAUAGACAGCAACACUGAUGGGCUAGUGGAUUUCCGUGAGUUUGUAGCAGCUACAUUACAUGUGCAUCAAUUGGAGGAAGACUCUGACAAGUGGCGGCACCUGUCACUGUCUGCUUUUGAGAUAUUUGACGUAGAUAAAGAUGGCUAUAUUACUCCAGAGGAACUUAGAAUGCAUACAGGCUUGAAAGGCUCCAUUGAUCCUUUGCUCGAGGAAGCUGAUAUUGACAAAGAUGGGAAAAUCAGCCUACCAGAGUUUCGUAAACUUCUAAGAACUGCAAGCAUGGGUUCUCAAAAGAUUUAUACCGCAUGUGGCUAUGUGCGGAGGAUAUAGAUUAGAGGUGCUUCAGAGACUGAGAUAAGUUUGGGGAUGCGAGAGUGGUGGAGUUCCUCUAAGUUAUUAUGUGAUUGUGCUGAAGCUCUUAAGAUUAUUUUCUAUUAUGCAGAUUUUAAUAACCAUCUGCGUUGAUAAUCUUUGAAACAAACUCCAGUUAUUGAUCGUGGUAUCCCCUGCACGGGGUUUAUGUCUACAAUGUCACGAGGCUACUUCAAGAUCUGUUUGGUAGAGUUUGUGUAGACCCUGCGUGGAUUGGCUUCAGGUAUUGCAGUUUCAGCAGUCUCAUAUAUGUCGGGGUUUUCUUGGUUGUGCAAUGCAUGCAAUGUGUAACUAAAUGAUUUUUUUUUUGCCACAGAAGAAAAAAAUAAAACUAAAUAAACAUGAAAUGAGAUACGGGGAUCAAAUUCUUUUCUCACUA